This 253-nucleotide ribosomal RNA is filed under the name uncultured bacterium. Its description in RNAcentral is "partial 16S ribosomal RNA". It matches the Rfam family "Bacterial small subunit ribosomal RNA", at positions 524 to 776 of the family's 1533-position model. The record is from RNAcentral.
UACGAGCGGCCCAAACGUUAUUCGGAAUUACUGGGCUUAAAGAGUUCGUAGGCGGCAUGAAAAGUAGGGUGUGAAAGCCCUCGGCUCAACCGAGGAAUUGCGCUCUAAACUGUCGUGCUAGAGGAAGCUAGAGGUGAGCGGAACUGAUGGUGGAGCGGUGAAAUGCGUUGAUAUCAUCAGGAACACCGGAGGCGAAGGCGGCUCACUGGGGCUUUUCUGACGCUGAGGAACGAAAGCCAGGGUAGCGAACGGG